GUCAGAUUAUGUGAAGCGGUGCAAAAACAAUUAAAAUUGCAAAAUAACUGUUUCCUUUCACGCAAGCUUACACCAAAAAUAAAGUGUCUAUAUUUUGGCGCUGUAAAUUACCUUGUUGAACUUGUGUCCCAUAAUGUUUGGGUUACUGAAAUAUCAGUUAUUGUUUUUGUACCCACAAAACGAACCCACCAACUUGAAUUAAAAGUACACAACUCCCACAAAAUCUACUGCAACUUAUAUAAGUUAAAUAAAUUAUAUAAUGACUGUAAUUGCACCGCUGGCUGCAAAAACUAAUCAAAUAGCAAUCACCAUUUGCAGUUGGAAAAAUGCGCUAAUGUGGUGAAGCCAGCCGAAUUUCAUAUUGAUAUUUGAACAAAUUAUCAUUGGAUUUAAUCGAAAUAAUGAAAUAAAAUUGUAAUUCUAGCGUAAAUGUGAAUACAUAAACAAAGCAGAUUAGUUAAAAGUUUGCAUUCACAUAUUGCAUAAAUCAUUUCUGGAUUACGGCUAUAAUUGGACAAACAAUAAAUGGAUAUCGUCGGUUGCUGCAGAUCAACACUUCUUCACUAACUUGGAACCACCUUUUCAAAACUUUUACUGUAGCAAAUCAGUGACGCAGAAAGCUGCAAAGCAACGAACAAACAAAUGCAAGUAAACACAAAUAAAAACUGUCAAUAAAAUCAAAAAAGGUAAACAAAAGGAGGAAUGAAAAGAACAAUAAUCGAACUCACUGCAGAGGAAGGGAAUAAAUAUGUAACAAGGUCACUCGAACAGAAAAAUUGGCAGGAAGUGAAAAUAAAUUUGGUUUCAUUCCAAUCGUUGCUGCAAUUCAAGAAAUGAUUUAUGCUGAGUACGAGCAGAGUGCAACGCUGGAAUGCAUGACGCGAUUAUAGCCGAGUUAACAACAACGCGCCAGUAGUUUCUUCUUUUCGCUACGUGGCGCCAAUUGGAUAUUCCAAGCGAAGCCAGGUCCUUCUCCAUAUGGUCCUUCCAACGGAGUGGAGGUCUUCCUCUUCCUCUGCUUCCACCGGCGGGUACUGCGUCGAAUACUUUCAGAGCUCCGGACAACAUGACCUAGACAGCGUAGCCGGACCAUAAAUCUUUCGCAGAACCAUAUUGAUAUUAUCUCAGUAAAUUAUCAUUGUAUUUAAACGAAACAUCGAAAUGAGUUUGUAAUUCAAGCGUAAAUGUGUAUAGAUAAACAAAGCAGAUUGUUGAAAGUCUACUGCGGUCGGACAAUAGAAGGAGUGGAAAACAGGUACGAAUAUCUGUAGACUAGAUACCAAAAUGUUUGUAAAGAAUGAUCUGCUCAACGUAAAUUAAAACGAGGCUAUCUAAGAUAUUUAUACAUAAAAUUAUAUUCAAGCGGCAUUACUUUAGGUACUUGUGUCAUCGCUCGCCCAGCUAGACUCAGUCUAUGCACCAACACGUCUUCGUUAUUUGAAUGAGGCUGAAAUAAAAUAACUGUGUGCAUACUGAAUACUGCAUUCCAUUACUUCAGGCUGUCACCAUAAAUUUUCACAUACGCAGCACAUGACAGAUGUCACAGGUUCGCAGCAAUUCACGCUUUGCGCAAAACGCUUCGCAAUAACUCAGUUCAUACUUUUCAGUUUAUUUGUACUUCUGGUUACAGUAAAUUAUGGUAUUUAGCUUAAAUCACUGUGAAAUAUUCAAGAUAUCUGUAAGAAAAAUAUUAAACUAAACACUAAAUUGUAAAAUUA
Molecule: long non-coding RNA, 1718 nt
Organism: Bactrocera neohumeralis
Lineage: Eukaryota; Metazoa; Arthropoda; Insecta; Diptera; Tephritidae
Exons: 7
Source: RefSeq, a predicted model, not a curated record